This 253-nucleotide ribosomal RNA is filed under the name uncultured bacterium. RNAcentral's name for it is "partial 16S ribosomal RNA". It matches the Rfam family "Bacterial small subunit ribosomal RNA", at positions 524 to 776 of the family's 1533-position model. The record is from RNAcentral.
UACGGAGGAGGCAAGCGUUAUCCGGAAUUAUUGGGCGUAAAGCGUCCGCAGGUGGCACUUCAAGUCUGUCGUCAAAGACUGGGGCUUAACCCUGGAAAGGCGGUGGAAACUGAAGCGCUAGAGUGCGGUAGGGGUAGAGGGAAUUCCCGGUGUAGCGGUGAAAUGCGUAGAGAUCGGGAAGAACAUCGGUGGCGAAAGCGCUCUACUGGACCUUAACUGACACUGAGGGACGAAAGCUAGGGGAGCGAAUGGG